Molecule: ribosomal RNA, 792 nt
Filed under: Blakea anomala
Lineage: Eukaryota; Viridiplantae; Streptophyta; Magnoliopsida; Myrtales; Melastomataceae
Description: eukaryotic LSU rRNA
Rfam family: 5.8S ribosomal RNA (bases 362-517)
Source: RNAcentral
CGGUUCGCUGCCGACAACGUCACGAGAAGUCCACUGAACCUUAUCAUUUAGAGGAAGGAGAAGUCGUAACAAGGUUUCCGUAGGUGAACCUGCGGAAGGAUCAUUGUCGAAAUCGAACGGAAGGAUGACCCGCGAAUCGUCGUCGCGUACAGGAGAGAGCUCGUGAGCGCCCAACGCUCACGCGGCUCGCGUCGCGUCGGCGCGGGUGUGCUCGAGACCCGCGUCGUACCGGCGUACAAACAACGUCAGCACGGAUCGUGCCAAGGAGCUGCAUGGAGAGAAUCGUCGUCCAGCGCCUUUGAUUGUCCCCGUUGCGGGACGGGGGGCGGGGGAUGUACGCAAUCUCUGCUCAAGUCUAAAUGACUCUCGGCAACGGAUAUCUCGGCUCUUGCAUCGAUGAAGAACGUAGCGAAAUGCGAUACUUGGUGUGAAUUGCAGAAUCCCGCGAACCAUCAAUUCUUUGAACGCAAGUUGCGCCCGAAGCCAUUCGGCCGAGGGCACGCCUGCCUGGGUGUCGUGAAUCCCCCUGCCCCUAGGCACCCGCACGCGCAUUGGCGGGGAAAUGCCCGGGCGCAGAAUAUGGUCUCCCGUGGGUUCGGCACGCACGGCGUGCCGAGGUGCGGUUGGCCGAAAAUCGAGCAUGGCGGUGACGGGCACCACGGCGUUCGGUGGAUCGAAUGAGAUUGGCUGCGUCGUGGGCUCGGCAUGCGGCGGGCUCCGGACUUUGACCAUCCCCGAGUGCGAUCCCAGGUCAGGCGGGGCUACCCGCUGAGUUUAAGCAUAUCAAUAAGC